GACGAACGCUGGCGGCGUGCUUAACACAUGCAAGUCGAACGUUGAAGCUUGGUGCUUGCACUGGGUGGAUGAGUGGCGAACGGGUGAGUAAUACGUGAGUAACCUGCCCUUGACUCUGGGAUAAGCCUGGGAAACUGGGUCUAAUACUGGAUACGACAUGUCACCGCAUGGUGGUGUGUGGAAAGGGUUUUACUGGUUUUGGAUGGGCUCACGGCCUAUCAGCUUGUUGGUGGGGUAAUGGCUCACCAAGGCGACGACGGGUAGCCGGCCUGAGAGGGUGACCGGCCACACUGGGACUGAGACACGGCCCAGACUCCUACGGGAGGCAGCAGUGGGGAAUAUUGCACAAUGGGCGGAAGCCUGAUGCAGCGACGCCGCGUGAGGGAUGACGGCCUUCGGGUUGUAAACCUCUUUCAGCACGGAAGAAGCGAAAGUGACGGUACGUGCAGAAGAAGCGCCGGCUAACUACGUG
Molecule: ribosomal RNA, 472 nt
Filed under: uncultured bacterium
Lineage: Bacteria
Description: partial 16S ribosomal RNA
Rfam family: Bacterial small subunit ribosomal RNA
Source: RNAcentral